This 443-nucleotide ribosomal RNA is filed under the name uncultured bacterium. RNAcentral's name for it is "partial 16S ribosomal RNA". It matches the Rfam family "Bacterial small subunit ribosomal RNA", at positions 338 to 795 of the family's 1533-position model. The record is from RNAcentral.
CCUACGGGUGGCUGCAGUGGGGAAUCUUGCGCAAUGGGGGCAACCCUGACGCAGCAACGCCGCGUGAUUGAAGAAGGCCUUCGGGUUGUAAAGAUCUGUAAUUGGGGACGAAACAAAUGACGGUACCCAAAGAAUAAGCUCCCGCUACCUACGUGCCAGCAGCCGGGGUAAUACGUAGGGAGCAAGCGUUAUCCGGGUUUAUUGGGAGUAAAGGGCGAGUAGGUGGGGUGUCAAGUGGGGGGUGAAAGCCCGGGGCUUAACCCCGGAAAGGCUUUGGAUACUGCGGGUCUUGAGUGAUGGAGAGGCAGGCGGAAUUCCGUGUGUAGCGGUGAAAUGCGUAGAGAUAUGGAGGAACACCAGUGGCGAAGGCGGCCUUCUGGACAUUAACUGACGCUGAGGAGCGAAAGCGUGGGGAGCAAACAGGAUUAGAUACCCCUGUAGUC